This 387-nucleotide long non-coding RNA is filed under the name Oryctolagus cuniculus (rabbit). RNAcentral describes it as "lncRNA (ENSOCUG00000036335.1)". Lineage: Eukaryota; Metazoa; Chordata; Mammalia; Lagomorpha; Leporidae. The record is from RNAcentral.
AUGCUGAACUUAGGUAUUGCAGAUGAGAUCCAUCUACACAUACAUGUGCACACAGAUAGUCUUGGAACCAGAAGUGGUCAAGAUAUGCAACCUGAAUUCUUACUACUAGAUGACCUGCAUUACAAAAGCCUGCUUUCCCAGAUCCUACUGCUGUGCAAGUCAUCUCAAAGAAGGAAGAAGAGAAAAAAGGAAGAUGGGAAAAAUAAUUUCAAAGUGUAUAGAGAUAAGAGGAGAAUAUUCAGAAGAGAUUUUAAUUCAAUAUUUGUUGAAGUUCUGAAAUGGCUGAAUAGUUCAUUUUAUUCCAUGUUUUCUUGCUUCCAUUUAGCAGGAAUGUACUGGAAAGGAUUGGAAAUGGCUGUUCUUUCAGUUUUUUAUGGUUUAGACUAA